This 76-nucleotide transfer RNA is filed under the name Thermoanaerobacterium thermosaccharolyticum. RNAcentral's name for it is "tRNA-Pro". It matches the Rfam family "tRNA". Rfam says of the family: Transfer RNA (tRNA) molecules are approximately 80 nucleotides in length. Their secondary structure includes four short double-helical elements and three loops (D, anti-codon, and T loops). Lineage: Bacteria; Bacillati; Bacillota; Clostridia; Thermoanaerobacterales; Thermoanaerobacteraceae. The record is from RNAcentral. RNAcentral also lists the same sequence under 13 other names.
CUGGGUGUGGCGCAGUUGGUAGCGCGCCAGAAUGGGGUUCUGGAGGUCGCUGGUUCAAAUCCAGUCACUCAGACCA